Molecule: long non-coding RNA, 432 nt
Filed under: Physcomitrium patens
Lineage: Eukaryota; Viridiplantae; Streptophyta; Bryopsida; Funariales; Funariaceae
Description: long non-coding RNA (PPAT_LNC005147)
Source: RNAcentral
AGGGUUUAGGAUUUGAUUAGGGUUUGAUUUAGGGUUUGGUUGGAGUUUGGUUUAAGAUUUGUUUAGGAUUUGGUUUAGGGUUUAGGGUUUUGUUUAGAGUUCGGAUAGAAUUUGGUUUAGGAUUUGGUUAGGGUUUGGUUUAGGGUUUGGUUAGGGUUUGAUUUAGGGUUUAGGAUUUGGUUUAGGAUUUAGGGUUUGAUUUAGGAUUUAGGAUUUUAUUAGGAUUUAUUUGGGGUUUAAGAUUUAAUUAUUUUUGGCCUAAAAUUUGAAUGAAGUCCAAUAGGAUUUUAACUAGGAUUAAAUUAAGAUUGAAUUGAGAUGUAUUUGAGAUAUAUUUGAGAUUAUUUUAAUAUUUUUUUAAGAUUUCUUAUUUUUUCUUUGAAAUUUCUUUGAGGUUUCUUUGAAUUUGAUUAAAGCUUGUUUAGUAUUAUU